This 26-nucleotide non-coding RNA is filed under the name Mus musculus (house mouse). Lineage: Eukaryota; Metazoa; Chordata; Mammalia; Rodentia; Muridae. The record is from RNAcentral.
CACAGAAUCUGUGAAAAUGCGCCAGG